UGGGGAAUAUUGCACAAUGGGCGCAAGCCUGAUGCAGCCAUGCCGCGUGUAUGAAGAAGGCCUUCGGGUUGUAAAGUACUUUCAGCGGGGAGGAAGGCGAUAAGGUUAAUAACCUUGUCGAUUGACGUUACCCGCAGAAGAAGCACCGGCUAACUCCGUGCCAGCAGCCGCGGUAAUACGGAGGGUGCAAGCGUUAAUCGGAAUUACUGGGCGUAAAGCGCACGCAGGCGGUCUGUCAAGUCGGAUGUGAAAUCCCCGGGCUCAACCUGGGAACUGCAUUCGAAACUGGCAGGCUAGAGUCUUGUAGAGGGGGGUAGAAUUCCAGGUGUAGCGGUGAAAUGCGUUGAGAUCUGGAGGAAUACCGGUGGCGAAGGCGGCCCCCUGGACAAAGACUGACGCUCAGGUGCGAAAGCGUGGGGAGCAAACA
Molecule: ribosomal RNA, 427 nt
Filed under: uncultured bacterium
Lineage: Bacteria
Description: partial 16S ribosomal RNA
Rfam family: Bacterial small subunit ribosomal RNA
Source: RNAcentral